RNAcentral lists this ribosomal RNA (253 nucleotides) under uncultured bacterium. RNAcentral describes it as "partial 16S ribosomal RNA". It matches the Rfam family "Bacterial small subunit ribosomal RNA", at positions 524 to 776 of the family's 1533-position model. The record is from RNAcentral.
UACGAAGGAUGCAAGCGUUAUCCGGAUUUAUUGGGUUUAAAGGGUGCGUAGGCGGACUUAUAAGUCAGUGGUGAAAUCUCGUUGCUUAACAACGAACGUGCCAUUGAUACUGUAGGUCUUGAGUACAGAUGCCGUUGGCGGAAUGUGUCAUGUAGCGGUGAAAUGCAUAGAUAUGACACAGAACACCGAUUGCGAAGGCAGCUGACGAAACUGUAACUGACGCUGAGGCACGAAAGCGUGGGGAUCAAACGGG